RNAcentral lists this ribosomal RNA (497 nucleotides) under uncultured bacterium. RNAcentral's name for it is "partial 16S ribosomal RNA". It matches the Rfam family "Bacterial small subunit ribosomal RNA", at positions 28 to 507 of the family's 1533-position model. The record is from RNAcentral.
GAUGAACGCUGGCGGCGUGCCUAAUACAUGCAAGUCGAGCGAACAGACGAGGAGCUUGCUCCUCUGACGUUAGCGGCGGACGGGUGAGUAACACGUGGAUAACCUACCUAUAAUACUGGGAUAACUUCGGGAAACCGGAGCUAAUACCGGAUAAUAUAUUGAACCGCAUGGUUCAAUAGUGAAAGACGGUUUUGCUGUCACUUAUAGAUGGAUCCGCGCCGCAUUAGCUAGUUGGUAAGGUAACGGCUUACCAAGGCAACGAUGCGUAGCCGACCUGAGAGGGUGAUAGGCCACACUGGAACUGAGACACGGUCCAGACUCCUACGGGAGGCAGCAGUAGGGAAUCUUCCGCAAUGGGCGAAAGCAUGACGGAGCAACGCCGCGUGAGUGAUGAAGGUCUUCGGAUCGUAAAACUCUGUUAUUAGGGAAGAACAAAUGUGUAAGUAACUAUGCACGUCUUGACGGUACCUAAUUAGAAAGCCACGGCUAACUACGUG